RNAcentral lists this ribosomal RNA (440 nucleotides) under uncultured bacterium. RNAcentral's name for it is "partial 16S ribosomal RNA". It matches the Rfam family "Bacterial small subunit ribosomal RNA", at positions 338 to 795 of the family's 1533-position model. The record is from RNAcentral.
CCUACGGGAGGCAGCAGUGGGGGAUAUUGCACAAUGGAGGAAACCCUGAUGCAGCGACGCCGCGUGUGGGAAGACGGUCCUCUGGAUUGUAAACCACUGUCCCCAGGGACGAAGAUGACGGUACCUGGGGAGGAAGCUCCGGCUAACUACGUGCCAGCAGCCGCGGUAAUACGUAGGGAGCGAGCGUUGUCCGAAAUUACGGGGUGUAAGGGGAGCGUAGGCGGGGAUGCAAGUUGGGGGUCAAAACUACCGGCUCAACUGGUAGUCGCACUCAAAACUGGAGCUCUUGAGUGAAGUAGAGGCAGGCGGAAUUCCUAGUGUAGCGGUGAAAUGCGUAGAUAUUAGGAGGAACACCAGUGGCGAAGGCGGCCUGCUGGGCUUUUACUGACGCUGAGGCUCGAAAGUGUGGGGAGCAAACAGGAUUAGAUACCCGUGUAGUC